UACGGAGGAUCCAAGCGUUAUCCGGAAUCAUUGGGUUUAAAGGGUCCGUAGGUGGAUAAUUAAGUCAGGGGUGAAAGUCUGCAGCUCAACUGUAGAAUUGCCUUUGAUACUGGUUAUCUUGAGUUAUUAUGAAGUAGUUAGAAUAUGUAGUGUAGCGGUGAAAUGCAUAGAUAUUACAUAGAAUACCAAUUGCGAAGGCAGAUUACUAAUAAUAUACUGACACUGAUGGACGAAAGCGUGGGGAGCGAACAGG
RNAcentral lists this ribosomal RNA (253 nucleotides) under uncultured prokaryote. RNAcentral's name for it is "partial 16S ribosomal RNA". It matches the Rfam family "Bacterial small subunit ribosomal RNA", at positions 524 to 776 of the family's 1533-position model. The record is from RNAcentral.